RNAcentral lists this ribosomal RNA (779 nucleotides) under uncultured archaeon. Its description in RNAcentral is "bacterial SSU rRNA". It matches the Rfam family "Archaeal small subunit ribosomal RNA", at positions 85 to 879 of the family's 1478-position model. The record is from RNAcentral.
ACGGCUCAGUAACACGUCGAUAAUCUGCCCUUAGGUCUAUGCGAACCUCGGGAAACUGAGGCUAAACUUGAUAGGGGUUAUGAACUGGAAUGUUCUUUCCCUGAACUAAGGAUGAGUCGGCGGCAGAUUAGGUAGAUGGAGAGGUAACGGCUCACCAUGCCUAAGAUCUGUACGGGCCAUGGGAGUGGUCGCCCGGAGAGGGAUACUGAGAUACUGAUCCCAGCCCUACGGGGUGCAGCAGGCGCGGAAACUUUACAAUGCACGCAAGUGUGAUAAGGGAAUCCAAAGUGCUUACGCUUUGCGUAGGCUUUUGCCAAGUCUAAAAAGCUUGGAGAAUAAGUGGUGGGUAAGACUGGUGCCAGCAGCCGCGGUAACCCCAGCGCCACGAGUGGGAGUCGCUUUUAUUGGGCCUAAAGCGUUCGUAGCCUGUUUUGUAAGUCUUUUGUGAAAUUGUUAGGCUUAACCUAACAGCGUGCAAGAGAUACUGCAAUUCUUGAGACCGGGAGGAGUAUGGGGUAUUCCAUGGGGAACGGUAAAAUGUAAUAAUCCAUGGAGGACCACCAGUGGCGAAGGCGCCAUACUAGAACGGAUCUGACGGUGAGGGACGAAGGCUAGGGGAGCAAAACGGAUUAGAUACCCGAGUAGUCCUGGCAGUAAACUCUGUGUGCUAGGUGUUGCAUUUUCUUGUGAACGUGCAGUAUCGAAGUGAAGACAUUAAGCACACCGCCUGGGUAGUACGGUCGCAAGGCUGAAACUUAAAGGAAUUGGCGGAGGAGCAC